Molecule: ribosomal RNA, 484 nt
Filed under: uncultured bacterium
Lineage: Bacteria
Description: partial 16S ribosomal RNA
Rfam family: Bacterial small subunit ribosomal RNA
Source: RNAcentral
AUUGAACGCUGGCGGCAGGCCUAACACAUGCAAGUCGAGCGGAUGAAGGGAGCUUGCUCCUGGAUUCAGCGGCGGACGGGUGAGUAAUGCCUAGGAAUCUGCCUGGUAGUGGGUGAUAACGUCCGGAAACGGGCGCUUAUACCGCAUACGUCCUGUGGGAGAAAGUGGGGGUUCUUCGGACCUCACGCUAUCAGAUGAGCCUAGGUCGGAUUAGCUAGUUGGUGGGGUAAUGGCCUACCAAGGCGACGAUCCGUAACUGGUCUGAGAGGAUGAUCAGUCACACUGGAACUGAGACACGGACAAGAGUCCUACGGGAGGCAGCAGUGGGGAAUAUUGGACAAUGGGCGAAAGCAUGAUACAGCAAUGCCGCGUGUGUGAAGAAGGACUUCGGAGUGUAAAGCACUUUAAGUUGGGAGGAAGGGAAGUAAGUUAAUACCUAGCUGUAUUGACGUUACCAACAGAAUAAGCACCGGCUAACUACGUG